The sequence is a small RNA, 80 nucleotides long. It matches the Rfam family "skipping-rope RNA". From Rfam's summary of the family: Firmicutes, Fusobacteria, AlphaProteobacteria, Spirochaetes. Downstream gene The record is from Rfam.
CUCUAUUGAGGUCGGAAAUGGCACCCGACACACUCUGAAAAGAGUACCUGAGAUGCAAGAGUGCCGCCUUGCCAAUAGUG